GGGCCAAAUGGGGAAAAAAUGCAUGGUCAUUACAAUUUAAAGACAAUGUUUGAUCUCCUUCCAUCUAUGAUUUACCAGACCAAUGCAACUCUAUCAAUAUCCAUUAGCAUGAAAGUAAUGGUGUAACUGCAAAUAAUGUCAUGCUGCUUAAAUGCUUAGACGGUAAAAAUCUUUCUCACCUUCUUCAUAUUCCUACGACAUAUAGGGCAUGUACCAGCAGCCUCCGCUAUCCUUGUUCCACAUGCAAAACAGGCAACACAGUGCCCACAUGGGAGGAAGAAGCAAUCCCUUGGAGCAUCAAAGCAAAUUGCACAAAGACGCCGUGUAUUAUUGUCAUUUUCACCAUCUUUUGAUGACUUACCUUCCAAGGAACCUGAUGCUAGAAAAUAUUCAAGAUCCUCCUCAUCAUUUGAGACUGAAUCAUAAGAAGAGCCCCAACUUGAGAGAUCAUCGUCCUUAUAUGAAAGAAGAGGAGCUCUCACAGGUUCCGCCUCCCCAUACUGAACUCCAGUUCCUUCUUCAUGAAUACAUCGUAACUUGUUCAAGAAGUUGAAUGCUGACAAUGUAAGCACAGUCAUUGCAGCUAUGCCAACAAUAUAUGUUACCCAUCUUGGUCCAUAGGUCAGUGUGACAUACCACUCAUUACUUGGUGAAUCC
Molecule: unclassified non-coding RNA, 657 nt
Filed under: Hevea brasiliensis (rubber tree)
Lineage: Eukaryota; Viridiplantae; Streptophyta; Magnoliopsida; Malpighiales; Euphorbiaceae
Source: RNAcentral